This 805-nucleotide ribosomal RNA is filed under the name uncultured soil bacterium. RNAcentral describes it as "bacterial SSU rRNA". It matches the Rfam family "Bacterial small subunit ribosomal RNA", at positions 8 to 847 of the family's 1533-position model. The record is from RNAcentral.
AGAGUUUGAUCCUGGCUCAGAAUCAACGCUGGCGGCGCGCCUAACACAUGCAAGUCGAACGAGAAAGUGGAGCAAUCCAUGAGUAAAGUGGCGUACGGGUGAGUAACACGUGGAUCAUCUGCCUUUUAGUGGGGAAUACCGCUGGGAAACCGGCGACAAUACCGCAUAAGCUCGAGAGAGGAAAGCCGAAAGGCGCUGGAAGAGGAGUCCGCGGUCGAUUAGCUAGUUGGUGAGGUAAUGGCUCACCGAGGCUGUGAUCGAUAGCCGGCCUGAGAGGGCACACGGCCACACUGGCACUGAAACACGGGCCAGACUCCUACGGGAGGCAGCAGUGGGGAAUCUUGCACAAUGGGGGCAACCCUGAUGCAGCGACGCCGCGUGAGCGAUGAAGCCCUUCGGGGUGUAAAGCUCUUUCGGCAGGGAAGAUUAUGACGGUACCUGCAGAAGCAGCUGCGGCUAACUACGUGCCAGCAGCCGCGGUAAUACGUAGGCAGCAAGCGUUGUUCGGAGUUACUGGGCGUAAAGGGUGCGUAGGCGGCUCGAUAAGUAUGGUGUGAAAUCUCCCGGCUUAACUGGGAGGGUGCGCUAUAGACUGCCGGGCUAGAGUGUGGGAGAGGAAAGUGGAAUUCCUGGUGUAGCGGUGAAAUGCGUAGAUAUCAGGAGGAACACCGGUGGUGUAAACGGCUUUCUGGACCAUAACUGACGCUGAGGCACGAAAGCGUGGGUAGCAAACAGGAUUAGAUACCCUGGUAGUCCACGCCCUAAACGAUGCAUAUUUGGUGUGGGUCAUUCAGUGAUCCGUGCC